GAUGAACGCUGGCGGCGUGCCUAAUACAUGCAAGUCGAGCGAACAGAUGAGGAGCUUGCUCCUCUGACGUUAGCGGCGGACGGGUGAGUAACACGUGGAUAACCUACCUAUAAGACUGGGAUAACUUCGGGAAGCCGGAGCUAAUACCGGAUAAUAUAUUGAACCGCAUGGUUCAAUAGUGAAAGACGGUUUUGCUGUCACUUAUAGAUGGAUCCGCGCCGCAUUAGCUAGUUGGUAAGGUAACGGCUUACCAAGGCAACGAUGCGUAGCCGACCUGAGAGGGUGAUCGGCCACACUGGAACCGAGACACGGUCCAGACUCCUACGGGAGGCAGCAGCAGGGAAUCUUCCGCAAUGGGCGAAAGCCUGACGGAGCAACGCCGCGUGAGUGAUGAAGGUCUUCGGAUCGUAAAACUCUGUUAUUAGGGAAGAACAAAUGUGUAAGUAACUAUGCACGUCUUGACGGUACCUAAUCAGAAAGCCACGGCUAACUACGUG
RNAcentral lists this ribosomal RNA (497 nucleotides) under uncultured bacterium. Its description in RNAcentral is "partial 16S ribosomal RNA". It matches the Rfam family "Bacterial small subunit ribosomal RNA", at positions 28 to 507 of the family's 1533-position model. The record is from RNAcentral.